This 137-nucleotide small nucleolar RNA is filed under the name Drosophila mojavensis. Its description in RNAcentral is "snoRNA:GI25401". The record is from RNAcentral. Lineage: Eukaryota; Metazoa; Arthropoda; Insecta; Diptera; Drosophilidae.
ACAGUCCCAGCUCCGCAUAGCAAUGUUUGAUGUGUCUGUGCGGCGUUCAUUGACUGUAAUAGAAAUCUCGCACGUAUUAUAUCUUUGUUGCUUAGGCACCCAGAAUGCCUAACUGAUGAAAACGUAUGUGCCACAAU